UACAGAGGUCUCGAGCGUUGUUCGGAUUCAUUGGGCGUAAAGGGUGCGUAGGUGGCGUGGUAAGUCUGGUGUGAAAUCCCGGGGCUCAACCCCGGAACUGCACUGGAUACUGCCAUGCUUGAGUACUGGAGAGGAGAUUGGAAUUUACGGUGGUAGCAGUGAAAUGCGUAGAUAUCGUAAGGAAGACCAGUGGCGAAGGCGAAUCUCUGGACAGUUACUGACACUGAGGCACGAAGGCCAGGGGAGCAAACGGG
This 254-nucleotide ribosomal RNA is filed under the name uncultured bacterium. RNAcentral's name for it is "partial 16S ribosomal RNA". It matches the Rfam family "Bacterial small subunit ribosomal RNA", at positions 524 to 776 of the family's 1533-position model. The record is from RNAcentral.